CCCUUAGAUGUCCUGGGCCGCACGCGCGUUACACUGAUGCAUUCAACGAGCUUAUAACCUUGGCCGAGAGGCCUGGGCAAUCUUGUUAACGUGCAUCGUGAUAGGGAUAGAUUAUUGAAAUUAUUAAUCUUGAACGAGGAAUUCCUAGUAAACGCAAGUCAUCAGCUUGCAUUGAUUACGUCCCUGCCCUUUGUACACACCGCCCGUCGCACCUACCGAUUGAAUGGUCCGGUGAAAUCUCGGGACGGCGGCUUGGUCGCUUGCGUCCGACUGCUGAAACUUGAUUAAACCAUAUCAUUUAGAGGAAGGUGAANUCGUANCA
Molecule: ribosomal RNA, 322 nt
Filed under: uncultured eukaryote
Lineage: Eukaryota
Description: partial 18S ribosomal RNA
Rfam family: Eukaryotic small subunit ribosomal RNA
Source: RNAcentral